RNAcentral lists this long non-coding RNA (695 nucleotides) under Homo sapiens (human). RNAcentral describes it as "HSALNT0095836". The record is from RNAcentral. Lineage: Eukaryota; Metazoa; Chordata; Mammalia; Primates; Hominidae.
AACUGAAGGUUUCCACUAAAAGAAACUGAAUCUCCUUGGAGAAAUGGCUGAUUCAAUGUCUGGAGCAAAGAAAGUGCAAGAUGAGCCUGGGACCUCCUCUGCUACAGAAUCGUGAAAUAAGUAAAGAAGCACUCAAAACCAACAGGCAUAUGUCAGAAGGACACAGAGACCAACUGGAAGGGGCUCCCGUUGGCCUAAUUUGGGACAAAUUGAGAAUUGAAAAGAAAACCGAUGGUAAUGAUUUUUCCUAGUUGACAGUGAUACUCAAGAACAUUAAAAGUCAACAUUCAGCUAAAAAUCGCUGGUAUCCUAUAAUAAACAUGACAUUGUGCUGGGAUUCUGGAAACCAGGCUGGGGGCAAAGAAACAUGAUAUGAAGACCCCAUCCAGAAGAAGUUACACAUCUAGGACAGGCAGCUAGGUCUUUGAGGAGUCGCCACACUGUCUUCCACAAUGGCUGAACUAAUUUACACUCUCAUCAACAGUGUGUAAGCAUUUCUUUUUCUCUACAACCUUGCCAGCAUCUGUUUUUGUUUUGUUUUGUUUUCACCUUUUAGUAAUAGCCAUUCUGACUGCUGUUAGAUGGUAUCUCAUUAUGGUUUUGAUUUGCAUUUCUUUAAUGAUCAGUGAUGUUGAGCUUUUCUUCAUAUGAUUGUUGGCCGCAUGUAUGUCUUCUUUCAAAAAGUGUCUGUUCAU